RNAcentral lists this ribosomal RNA (254 nucleotides) under uncultured bacterium. RNAcentral's name for it is "partial 16S ribosomal RNA". It matches the Rfam family "Bacterial small subunit ribosomal RNA", at positions 524 to 776 of the family's 1533-position model. The record is from RNAcentral.
UACGGGGGGAGCAAGCGUUGUUCGGAUUUACUGGGCGGAAAGGGCGCGUAGGCGGUCGUGACAAGUCACUUGUGAAAUCUCCGGGCUUAACUCGGAACGGUCAAGUGAUACUGUCGGACUAGAGUACAGAAGGGGCAACUGGAAUUCUCGGUGUAGCGGUGAAAUGCGUAGAUAUCGAGAGGAACACCUGCGGCGAAGGCGGGUUGCUGGGCUGAUACUGACGCUGAGGCGCGAAAGCCAGGGGAGCGAACGGG